UUCGUAAAGUGUUUAUUUAUUUGGUGUGUGACAUAUAGGAAGAGGAGUAUUGCAGAACCAAACAACAGCAAGUGUGAAUAACACAAGAAGACAAGUGAGGUUGUUUGGGGUUAACUUGGAAUGCGAGGCCGACGAGCCGUCGUGGUCGAAGCCACCAUCAACCCCAGAUGGCGGUGGGUCUUCCACGUCUAGCCACCAAGGUCAGGGUCAAGCCAGCCAACACUAUUACCAAUACCAAUUUCAGCACUCAAAGCCUCAUGUUGCUGCCUCUUCCUAUCACAUGGAUAUGAAUUUCUCAAGAGAUGUCAACCAGAUGAGAUAUCACCAGGGAUAAGAUCUGUGGAUUUGACAUCCAGGAUUGACUAUUACGGGCACUUGAAAAAUUAUAAAAAAAAAAA
This is a non-coding RNA of Nicotiana tabacum (common tobacco), 398 nucleotides long. NCBI's taxonomy places the organism in Eukaryota, Viridiplantae, Streptophyta, Magnoliopsida, Solanales, Solanaceae. The record is from RefSeq and is a predicted model, not a curated record.